Pelobates cultripes (western spadefoot toad) is the source of this 275-nucleotide non-coding RNA. The record is from the annotation of a GenBank genome assembly. NCBI's taxonomy places the organism in Eukaryota, Metazoa, Chordata, Amphibia, Anura, Pelobatidae.
CUUGCUAUUUAAGAGGGAGCGAGGCUUAUCAGCCACCCUUUGAUUGCUUUGCUCUCUAGUAGGUAGGGUGACUGCUGCCUUGCUUGAUUCACAUGGAGCAUUGGCCUCCGUGUGAGUACAGUCUGGCAGGCAGGGGAGAGGGAACUGCUGGGCUCUGCCCCCCACUCCUCCGUCCCCUGGAGCUGUUCUCAUAGAAUUAAACAGCUGUGUUCAGCUGUCUGAAAUUCAGUGUGGUGACUGUUUGUGCCACUGGUCUGCAAAUUUCAGGAUUUACA